Molecule: small nuclear RNA, 145 nt
Organism: Tupaia belangeri (northern tree shrew)
Lineage: Eukaryota; Metazoa; Chordata; Mammalia; Scandentia; Tupaiidae
Gene: U4
Rfam family: U4 spliceosomal RNA
About the family: U4 small nuclear RNA (U4 snRNA) is a component of the major U2-dependent spliceosome. The structure of U4 snRNA from yeast and human has been reported. U4 snRNA presents a k-turn RNA motif in the 5p-SL related to recognition of Snu13 protein.
Source: Ensembl
AGCUUUGCGCAGUGGCAGUAUCGUAGUCAGUGAGGUUUAUCCCAGGCGUGAUUAUUGCUAAUUGAAAACUAUGGAAUUUUGCUCCAAUUAACUUGUUUUUAUAAUGCUAAAGUCACAUUGAACUUUUUUCAAGUUAUCCAAAUAA